RNAcentral lists this unclassified non-coding RNA (246 nucleotides) under Hevea brasiliensis (rubber tree). The record is from RNAcentral. Lineage: Eukaryota; Viridiplantae; Streptophyta; Magnoliopsida; Malpighiales; Euphorbiaceae.
AAGAAGACUUACUGCAAGAACAAGCAAUGCAAGAAGCACACUCUGCACAAAGUGACCCAGUACAAGAAGGGUAAGGACAGUCUUUGUGUUCAAGGGAAACGCCGGUAUGAUCGCAAACAGUCUGGUUAUGGUGGCCAAACUAAGCCUGUUUUCCACAAGAAGGCGAAAACAACCAAGAAGAUUGUGCUGAAGCUGCAGUGCCAGUCUUGCAAGCAUGUCUCGCAGCACCCAAUCAAGAGGUGCAAG